Non-coding RNA from Tenericutes bacterium GWF2_57_13, 74 nucleotides. The record is from Rfam. Lineage: Bacteria; Bacillati; Mycoplasmatota.
GGCUCGAUAGCUCAGCUGGAUAGAGCAUUGGAUUCCGGAUCCAACGGUCGCAGGUUCGAAUCCUGUUCGAGUCG